This 591-nucleotide ribosomal RNA is filed under the name Pantoea dispersa. Its description in RNAcentral is "bacterial SSU rRNA". It matches the Rfam family "Bacterial small subunit ribosomal RNA", at positions 93 to 683 of the family's 1533-position model. Lineage: Bacteria; Pseudomonadati; Pseudomonadota; Gammaproteobacteria; Enterobacterales; Erwiniaceae. The record is from RNAcentral.
GAGUGGCGGACGGGUGAGUAAUGUCUGGGAAACUGCCCGAUGGAGGGGGAUAACUACUGGAAACGGUAGCUAAUACCCCAUAACGUCCCAAGACCAAAGUGGGGGACCUUCGGGCCUCACACCAUCGGAUGUGCCCAGAUGGGAUUAGCUUGUAGGUGGGGUAAUGGCUCACCUAGGCGACGAUCCCUAGCUGGUCUGAGAGGAUGACCAGCCACACUGGAACUGAGACACGGUCCAAACUCCUACGGGAGGCAGCAGUGGGGAAUAUUGCACAAUGGGCGCAAGCCUGAUGCACCCAUGCCGCGUGUAUGAAGAAGGCCUUCGGGUUGUAAAGUACUUUCAGCGGGGAGGAAGGCGAUGCGGUUAAUAACCGUGUCGAUUGACGUUACCCGCAGAAAAAGCACCGGCUAACUCCGUGCCAGCAGCCGCGGUAAUACGGAGGGUGCAAGCGUUAAUCGGAAUUACUGGGCGUAAAGCGCACGCAGGCGGUCUGUCAAGUCAGAUGUGAAAUCCCCGGGCUUAACCUGGGAACUGCAUUUGAAACUGGAGGCUUGAGUCUCGUAGAGGGGGGUAGAAUUCCGGUGUACGGUG